GACAGAGGUGCCAAGCGUUAGGCGGAAUCACUGGGCUUAAAGCGUGUGUAGGCGGAAUUGUAAGUACCUUGUGAAAUCCCACGCUCAACCGUGGAACUGCUCGGUAUACUGCUUUUUCUUAGCCACUUAGGGGCUGUCGGAACAAACGGUGGAGCGGUGAAAUGCGUAGAUAUCGUUUGGAACGCCAACGGUGAAAACAGACAGCUGGGAGUGUGCUGACGCUGAGACGCGAAAGCGUGGGGAGCGAACAGG
Molecule: ribosomal RNA, 252 nt
Filed under: uncultured bacterium
Lineage: Bacteria
Description: partial 16S ribosomal RNA
Rfam family: Bacterial small subunit ribosomal RNA
Source: RNAcentral